GAGCCCAAUGAGUGAGUAUAGUAACAAAACACCCCUAAAUCAUAUAUUCAUCACACAAUGUAACAAAAACAAAACGUGGAAACACACCCAACUCUCGUGCUCGCUUCACCAACUCCAUGCGAAUAAGAAAAUUCCACCAGAAACCCAUGGUUCUCACAACCAUAAAAUGAUAUAAGAACAUACAUGAUACACAACUUCAAACAUAGAAAGUUAAUGAUUUAGCUUCCCUUACCGUAGAUAAACCCUAGCUUUCUUUCUUUGCCCAAGGUUGAGAACCCAAAACUUUCACCUCCUCCACAUUAACGUUCUUGCUUCCAAGAAAAACUCUAAAACACUCUUUGGAUUUUCCAAUCACUAUCUCCCAGUGCACCCACCACUUUUUCUCUUUCUGUUAAACUUUGUAUCCCCCUAAAUUUUCCAGAGCCCCUCUCUUAAAUAAAACUACCCAAUCCACUAACCCCUAUCUGUUCCACUAACCCAAUCCACUGACCUUAGAUAUUUUAAUUAUGGUUUUUAAAAUGAGUUAAGUGGCCCCACGAUGAAUAUUUAAAAUAUAAUAGCCAAACAAACAAUUUU
Molecule: long non-coding RNA, 576 nt
Filed under: Vigna radiata
Lineage: Eukaryota; Viridiplantae; Streptophyta; Magnoliopsida; Fabales; Fabaceae
Description: long non-coding RNA (VRAD_LNC013104)
Source: RNAcentral